Molecule: ribosomal RNA, 497 nt
Filed under: uncultured bacterium
Lineage: Bacteria
Description: partial 16S ribosomal RNA
Rfam family: Bacterial small subunit ribosomal RNA
Source: RNAcentral
GAUGAACGCUGGCGGCGUGCCUAAUACAUGCAAGUCGAGCGAACAGACGAGGAGCUUGCUCCUCUGACGUUAGCGGCGGACGGGUGAGUAACACGUGGAUAACCUACCUAUAAGACUGGGAUAACUUCGGGAAACCGGAGCUAAUACCGGAUAAUAUAUUGAACCGCAUGGUUCAAUAGUGAAAGACGGUUUUGCUGUCACUUAUAGAUGGAUCCGCGCCGCAUUAGCUAGUUGGUAAGGUAACGGCUUACCAAGGCAGCGAUGCGUAGCCGACCUGAGAGGGUGAUCGGCCACACUGGAACUGAGACACGGUCCAGACUCCUACGGGAGGCAGCAGUAGGGAAUCUUCCGCAAUGGGCGAAAGCCUGACGGAGCAACGCCGCGUGAGUGAUGAAGGUCUUCGGAUCGUAAAGCUCUGUUAUUAGGGAGGAACAAAUGUGUAAGUAACUAUGCACGUCUUGACGGUACCUAAUCAGAAAGCCACGGCUAACUACGUG